This 218-nucleotide non-coding RNA is filed under the name Pseudomonas sp. OF001. Its description in RNAcentral is "sucA-II". It matches the Rfam family "sucA-II RNA". Lineage: Bacteria; Pseudomonadati; Pseudomonadota; Gammaproteobacteria; Pseudomonadales; Pseudomonadaceae. The record is from RNAcentral.
CUGCGCGGAGUGGCGGCUUGCCGGCACUCCGCGCAGUUGCAGAACCAGCCGUAGCCCACAAAGCCGCGGUUCUUGAUUAAAAAACGACCAGCAGGGGCAACCGGGCUGGAGCCCGGACCAUCAGCGGGAUCCCAAGUGGCUUUGCCGAAGUCGCUGCUCUGGACUUUAAGCCACGGCGGUCUCCACGCCAGAUGGUGUCCCCUUACCGAGGGUGACCU